CGAGAGUUUGAUCCUGCUCAGGAUGAACGCUGGCGGCGUGCUUAACACAUGCAAGUCGAGCGAAGCACUUCUGUUUUGAUUUUUUCGGAAUGAAAACAGUUUGACUGAGCGGCGGACGGGUGAGUAACGCGUGGGGAACCUGCCUUACACAGGGGGAUAACAGUUAGAAAUGGCUGCUAAUACCGCAUAACCGCUGGGGUCGCAUGACCCUGACGGAAAAGAUUCUAUCGGUGUAAGAUGGACCCGCGUCUGAUUAGCUGGUUGGUGAGGUAACGGCUCACCAAGGCGACGAUCAGUAGCCGACCUGAGAGGGUGAUCGGCCACAUUGGGACUGAGACACGGCCCAAACUCCUACGGGAGGCAGCAGUGGGGAAUAUUGCACAAUGGGGGAAACCCUGAUGCAGCAACGCCGCGUGAGUGAAGAAGUAUUUCGGUAUGUAAAGCUCUAUCAGCAGGGAAGAAAUUGACAGUACCUGACUAAGAAGUCCCGGCUAACUACGUG
This 502-nucleotide ribosomal RNA is filed under the name uncultured Lachnospiraceae bacterium. RNAcentral describes it as "bacterial SSU rRNA". It matches the Rfam family "Bacterial small subunit ribosomal RNA", at positions 1 to 507 of the family's 1533-position model. The record is from RNAcentral. Lineage: Bacteria; Bacillati; Bacillota; Clostridia; Lachnospirales; Lachnospiraceae.